UGUUUCGUUUCUGUCAUUUACGUGGAACAGCUUUUUAAUCUGCUGAUCUUUUUUUUUCUUCUAAUUAGUGGAAUGUCACUGACUUUUAAAAAAAAGGGGGGGGGGGAGUACGGUGGAAAAAAAACUAGAGUUUCUAUAAAUCUCUACAAUUUCCAUGUAGGCCUAUAUAGAUCUAUGUUGGAAACAAAACAAAGUCAAAAAUUAUUUUUUAACACACUAGAUUGAGUCCUAAUGAAUAGACUCAAGAUCAAGAUCUUUAGGCAUCACUGGGACGAGGUUGGAUGUGGGACAAGAUACCCUCUCAAUUUAUAUAAGCAAUAACAAAAUGUUUUAAAAGCUGUAAGACCAGUAAACGUUGUUUUUUUUCAUUUGGAUCUAGGAACUAACAAUCGUUACCAACCGUUCCUAUUUCAUGACAUUCCUUUACACAAAUGCUUUAUAUCACAUUGCAAUAAAUAACCUCGAAGUAAAAAAUCAUCUUUUGUAGAAACAAAGCUUAUAAAAGGGAAAGGGGAAGAAAUGCAAAAUCACUGCCACAUAUGUCAAUGAUGCAGGAAGGAGGUCUCUUUUUCUAUAUAAAAUAAAAUAAAUUAUCAAUAAGUGAUUAACUAAUUGUUUUUGUUUUUUUUUUACUGAUUUAUGUAUCGCAUCGACUGUAACUAAUUAUUCGAAAUUUCAACUUAGUCGGAGAAUGGGAAGUGGAAAAAUAACGUGUACAAAACAAAAUAAGGGAUAACUCCAGCUAUAGCCACAUCUCUCAAUAUGUAGCAUUUAUUUUCCUUAUUCGAUACAGUACGAGAAUAAUUAAUUUCCAAGAAUUAAUUAAAUAAUUGGUUAAUUUUUUGAUUCAUAUUUUGUUAGGUACAACAAAUAAUUGUAAAGUUUAACUUAACCCAAAAAAUGGGUGUGGGAAAAAUAACGUGUACAAAAUUGUACCAGAUCGAGAGACAGAAAGGGCAAAGUUGAUAUAGGCCUAAGCUUUGUAAACAUUGCUAACAUUAAAGAGAAAUGUAAAAUAUUUGUUCAAGACAGUAAAGUAAUGGGAAAAAAAGAAUAAUUAUUAGCAUUCCAUCAUAUUAUUUUCUUGUUUCCUUUUCAUCUGUCUAUUAAUUUCAACGACCUGUCAUUCUGUAUACUUUGUAGUUCUAUAUCUGUUUUGUCCAUUUCCACAGCAACUAUAUCAUCUACACAUGUUCAUUAUUACACACACACACACACACAAGACGUCGAUGAGAUUUGUAUGAACGUCUUUCAAAACGAGAUGAUUAAUGAUAAUUGGAUUUGGAGCUGUUGGGAUAUAGAGUAGCCUACGUUUAUGUACUUUCGGCGUAUUUAGGGUAGACUAAUAUAUUAACAAAGUAGAAUAAGUAGAUCCACAGGUUAGGUUAGAGUUUCUGUUAGGGUCUAUUUAUAAUUUUGUUUUCACGUGAGAUGUUCUACAUCAGCACAAAUGUUACUGAAUUGAAAAAAAAAAAAACAGAUACACCUAAAUCUGAGUGGUGGCCACUAGGAGUGUUAACAAACUAGGGCCAAAAGUGAACACAAUCGUAGCUUAUUAAUAUUCCACGUGAGCCUAUCUCUGCCUCUCCUAAAUUACAUACAGUCUAAAAUUAGCUGACUGGAUAGAAGGGGAAAAAAGCUAAACAGUACACUUUAUAAAGUCGGCUAGUCUACACCGGAGAUGACAACUAUGCAGUGGAUGUCGCCUAGAAUCAAUAAUUGUGUUGACUUUUCCUUACUAACCGCUUAGGAAUGUUUGCUAAGUUAGCAGCACAAUCCUAUUUGCAGUCUGGUAUUGUAACUUGCAUGUGUUUAGUUUUUAUACUGCUGCAAUUCAUAUGCAGAUAUCUAAAGCAUACGUCACGACUUCCUCUCAAUACAAACACACGCACAAUGUACAGAGACUCACGGACUGAGACAAAAUAAGAGUCAAUAUUAUACUUGGUCACAUUGCUCUUGACCAGGAGCACUUAUACUUCUAACGUCCAUAAAGGACGUCUGUAACCUAGAUUACAUUUUGUACAAGAUUAGACUUUGAUUACACUUUGUUAAAGGUUUUACUUUGUCAAGUUCUUGCAUAUAUUUGUUAUCACCAGUCAGGAUAUCCUUAAAUAGCUCAAGAUGACCUAAUUAUGCUACGUCUGUAGUUCAGGUCAAAUAAAUUAAAAAUCGAUUUGUUUUGAACUAACAGAGGACACAUAUUUAUUUUUUGUUUUUGUUUUUGUUAGUCACAAGUAGUUUCGCUAUGUCUAAGGUGGUAUAGUUAUUGACUGUCUGAAGGUGACCAAUAGUUUAAGUCUCGCUGCUUCAAGUAAUUAAUGCUUCUCUAUUAACUACAAUGGACUUAAAUAUAGGUACUUUUUUUUUUUUAACUAAUGAACAUGUUACACAAGUGUAAGGUUUCAUAGCUUGUACUAAUUGGGGAAACAGUUAUUGUUCCUGGAAGUACGUAUCGUUAACAAGUCAUAUGUGCAUUAGAAAGAGGAGGGGAUAAGUCAGAGAUAAGGCGCGUUUCUUACUGCUAGGACUGAUUCGUGCAAUAACUUUUUUUUGGGGGGUAAACAUUGCAUUCUUAAUAUGCAAUCGGUUGCCUGAAUCGAAACCAAUCGUUAGCGAAUGCCUCAACACUGACCUGCAACGUCAGAGCCUGUGUGCAGUUUAGACCAGUAUCUCGUUGCCACGUCACAGGCCUUUUCGACGUGGCAACGAGCUAUUGGUCUGAACUGCCCAAAGGCUGUGAUGUUACAGACCAGUGUAUAGGCAUUCUCUAACGAUUGGUCUAGCCCGAAUUCACUAUUGAAACCAUUGAAUCACCAUAACAAUUAGUAGAGUUCAAGUGACUGAGUAACGUGCACGACUUGUUUGACACAUAAAAUGUGUAGGACGUAAUUUUCUUUUUUGAAGUAACGUCUGUAAUCUAUAAGAUUCUCUAAUAAUGGCUAGGUUAUCAUAAACACAUGUAUGAUUGAUGUAAUAGCCUUCAGUUGAUGUUAGGCCUAUAAUCAAACUGUAUAUUACACAAUUGUACGUCCCACGCUGAGAACAAACUUUAGUGUUAUAGGCUAUGUGUUUCUUAACUUGAUAGUAAACAAGAACUUAAGAUUGAGUAACCUGUUAUGUUGACUUACGUUUGUACUGUCUCUGACACCAAGAAAAUAGGGAGGACCCCUACUCAAUAGAUUACAUAUUAUAGAUACCGGUAUAUAGAACAGUAGAACUAAUUGAUUGUUGCUACCCUUCGAUUCUUUCAAGCCAACAAAUAAAGAACAGGAAGUUAAAUUUCAAUGUUCACUUCACAAUUUGAUCGAUCAAAGGAUAUAGUCUUUAUUUUCUUAAUGUCAGUAUGCAGCACUUUAUAACUUUCUAAUAACGCGAAUUCAUUUUUUGGCCUACAUUUUCUCCCUCCCUUAAACUGAAAGGAACUGUUUUCCUACCGUACUACCUCUGCAAAAUUGGGCCUAAUUUCUCUACAAUCUUGCUUUACUGUUUUCAUACCGGACUACCUCUGCUAAAUUACUUUCUCUGACCAGCUUUCUUUAGUUUUCUUACCGUACUAGCUCUGCUAAAUUAUUUUCUUUCACCAGCAUUCUUUACUGUUUUCUUUCUGCAAUACCUUUGCAAAAUGACUUGUGGCUUUUAGAGGUAAAAAAAAAAACAUUGCCUGGAGGUAGAUCUAGAUUCUAAGUACUAAUAGAUCUAGUAAAUAAACAGCAAUAGUCGUUAAUGUCACAACGCUGGCCUUCGAAACAAUUGAAAGGGUCACAUUUAUGACACUAUUAACGGUAGGACACAGUUCAUGCAGUAGUGUCAACGCAUUAUUUAACUUUAGGGCGUGGUCACUUAAAGGGAGUGUGUAGUCAUGGUAACAUAAUGCAUUCACACUGCACUUUGCUAUGGGUUGGCGCGAAAAAAAAAAGUACAAGUACAUGUACUUUAGGCUCCAUUUCUGCAUUUUUCGCUUUUGUUUUAGUUUGGCCGAUAUCUUUCUCAUGACUCCUUACUUAGAGUCAUUAGACAAAGGCGGAUGAAUUUACACCGAGUUGGUUGAGUGCGGUUUUGUUUACAUAAGUCUCCCCACAGCUACCCUGCCUUACACCCAAUAGUUAGGCCCCUAUAUAUUCGUAUAUAUAUAAAGGUUGAGUGUUUUUUUUUUAUUCUUUACUUUGGUUUUUCCUUUUAAAAAAAUAAUUAGACACUUCUUUUAUACCUUUUUUACCAAGUCUGUCUGAACUUAAAAGGCUAUGAAAUCACACUCCUCUUGCUUGAAAUACUAAGACUUGUAAAAUUUCUCCCAUUUAGUUGUGUUAUGUGUCAGUGACCCUAAGAAAUCUGGGUAGUGGCCUAAUUUAUGUCAAUAGCUUACAAGUGAUGCGUUGUGGGUGUGGUCACGCCCAUUUCUGCCCCGCCCAUGAUAUGAAAUGUUCAUAAUAUAUUGGCAUUGUUUUAUAGUAGACCUAGCCUAUAAAGACAUGUAUCAGUUAUGAAGUGAAUAAUAGACCUCUAUAGAUUUAGUUCUUUAGGGUGUUUUAGGAUAGGCCUAUACGUUAGGACCAACAUAUAGGCCUAGAUCUAGAUCCUGAUGAUAUUUAGAUCAAGUCAGUCCGUUAGUCUCGGUCCGGAUCCGUACUUGUUGGACGUCUGGAGUGGGACUCUCAUGUGACGUGAUUUUUUAAAUGUAGUCAUUGUAAUAUAAAAUAUCUCUGUGCAUUGCUUAGCAAAGAUUAAAACUAUGCGGGUCACAUAGAUGCAGCCUACUCAAUUGCUCACUCGAUUCGCGCAUUACCCUUAAUUGUGUCUAAUAAACGAAAAGACGUGACUUUUGUUUGGGCUCUUUAAAAAAGGGAAUAGAAUGGCCUGAUAGGUCCUCUCUGUCUUGGGAACUUCCGUCUUCUCCCAAGCGCGUUCCCAGAUGGCAGAUAGAUGAAACACCCUUACAUGUAAGGGCUAGCUGUGAAUGUAAAUAUCAAAUCAACAGCCGCUGAUCAGCUGUUUAGCAGUGAUGGAGGAUGAGGUGCGGUAUUUCAGUGGUUAGGAUAUGCCCUUAAAACAUCUCAAACAGCUAGGGAAAGGAUUACAUAAUGUGAGUAUAGGGCGCUUUAACUCUAAACCCCCGAGUAGGUGAAGAACGUUUGCUACAGAUAGAACUAUGAAGACUGUUUUGUCAAAUGUUAUUAACAUGUUUCGGAUGUUCCUUCAGAGUUGAAGAUGAUUUAGGCUACUUCCUAGAGUCCAAAUCUCCCGCAGGACGACGGAGGAUGGGAGCGGGCAGGGUUUGAACCCGGGACCAUCGAUAAAUCCAAACGACAGCCCAAUGCGCAAACCGCACGACCAGGCAGCCAUCUGUCUACGGUACGUGUACGUGUCUUUACAGAAGAGUGGCAGCAAUGAGGAAAAUGCUCGCGUUUUAAAAUUUAUGUAGCUACGCAUUCACGAAAUAAUGGGCAAGACAUACUGCUUUCUUUUGUUAUGUCAUUAUAUUUACCUCAUGGUCUAUUGUUUGGGCAUGUGACAUACUAUAACAAUAGCUGCGCUUUUCAAAAGCAAACAUUGACAUGUCAUGUACUAAAGCCCAACCUACGUGCUCUGUUUAGUCAGUAGGCCUAUAUUUGGAACAGAAGCGGGAAAGGGAGGAAAGCCAUAAAAAUAGAUCUAUGGAAGUACGGUUAAAGAAAAGGUGGAAGUUUGGUUCCUUUAAGCGCGCAUUCAGAAUGUCUCUUUUAAGUAAUCUUUUAACAUGUAGGGCCUACUCCCUCUCCGAUGAAAGCUAUGAAUGAACAAUUUAUUUAUAUAAAGCAUUUCAUUUAGUUAGACCUAUAUGAAGCAAGUGAUAAAUACCAGAAGUAGCUAAAAAAACAAAAUCAAGAGUUCAGACUUAAGGUCUUAACAUUAGAAGUUACGGUAACAAAUAAAAGCAUGGCUUCAGUCUUAGUAUUUAAACACAGACGUGUCAGUGUGGGGAAGGUCUCUCAUUGCCUACAUGUUUACAUAGUCAACCAAGCAAGAAAGUUCACUCUUAGAAAAUACAUAGCCUAAUCUGCUACUCACCCCUUCUAAUAGACAUUCAUACAUUCUCUAGUAAGAUAGAUCUAGGGCAUUCUAGGCCUAGUCAGAAAUGUUCAUUUGCCAUCAGUGCAGAGUGCUCGCUCUCUCUCUCUCCACUAUUUAGUUCAAAAGUCUAUUAUAUAGAGAACGUCUACUAUGACGUUUUUUUUUUCUUAUUACAACUUAGGUUGUGCAAAUUAUUCAUGAGUUAAAAAAUGACUACCCUGAAAUAUGACAGUUGGCUAUAUGUAUAGCUUUGCGGAAAAAAAUAUAUUACUAGUUAAUUGGCCAAACAGGGAAAAAUUCUUGUUAGACCUUUAUAAUUAUUCAAAAUAUAAUCUUCUUAAAAUUAAAUUUAAUAUGGAGGUCUAGACAAUCUAUAUCUUAAAGACCAACUGAAGAGGUUUUUAUCGAAAUUGAGAUAACUAUUGAUUAUGAAAGUAGAUGGUAUCAAAUAUAGUUCCUAAAAAUUUGAGUUAAAAGAAAUACAUAUUUAUACUAGAUAAAGUCAUUUGGAAGUGUAAAAAAAUUAACGAGAUUUGAAAUGGCUCUGUCAUGGCCGAAAGCGGAAGUGACGUUAUAGUAUGGAAAUCACGGGAAACUGUCGAGCUCAAGACACUAGAUCUAGCUAGACCGCCUAGAGGAGUCUAGAUCUUGUUUUUUGUUAUUAAGACCAACUUAACGUAGACAAUUUAGUCUUAUUACUAGAUUAAACCUGACAUUGGCUAAAAGAUGAUCUGAUGCGUCCAACAGUGGAUGGCUGCCUGAUUGUGUGUUAUGCCAGCUGGACUGUUAUUUUAUAAGACUGUUGAGCAUCUUUUACUUGCAAAUCUAAAAGCUGAUGCUAUGACACUCAAUGGCUUAGAAGAAAUUCUGUCAGUUUUAUAUGGUUAUGACAAUAAUCUUUAAUAAAUAAGUCUUAUACAAGGACAAUAAAGAUUAUUAUUAUUAUUA
This is a long non-coding RNA of Biomphalaria glabrata, 6996 nucleotides long. RefSeq lists it as uncharacterized. The transcript is spliced from 2 exons. Lineage: Eukaryota; Metazoa; Mollusca; Gastropoda; Planorbidae. The record is from RefSeq and is a predicted model, not a curated record.